UGCCUGGCGCUUAUUGCAGAACCAGACACGAACCACUUCACGGUCGUAAUUGAGCUGCUCGGCCAGCUCGGUCAUCUCGGCUCCUGCACAGCACAGUGUCAAGGUAUCCUCAACUGGGAUGGCUAACAAUGGCCCCUGCAACAUCUGUGGUCGCAGAGAAACAACUGGACAUCUAUUUGACUGCUUUUCCGUUGAAGGUAAACAACUUGCUCUCCACGCCAGCCUUGCCCAGCAAAAUGGAAGGUCUUCCUCUGAGAGCAGUAUCUUGGGGUCGUGACCUCACAGCAGCAGAAAGCCACAAGAGUACUGCUGAGGUUUCUGAAGUCUGCCAGAGUAAGCAGCCAUUCAUGAGGCAGUGAUGAACAAUACAGUUUGCC
Dermacentor silvarum is the source of this 377-nucleotide long non-coding RNA. RefSeq lists it as uncharacterized. The transcript is spliced from 2 exons. The record is from RefSeq and is a predicted model, not a curated record. Lineage: Eukaryota; Metazoa; Arthropoda; Arachnida; Ixodida; Ixodidae.